UCAACUCUGUUGACCAGGCUGGAGUGCAGUGGCAAGAUCACAGCUCACUGCAGCUUCCAACUCCUGGGCUCAAGCGAUCCUUCUGCCUUAGUCUCCUGGGUAUCUGGCACUACUGGCGUGCACCAUCAUGCCCAGCUAAUUUUUAAUUGUUUGUAGAGAUGGGGUCUCACUACAUUGCCCAGGCUGGUCGGUCUCGAAGUCUUGGGCUCCAGUGAUCCUCCCACCUUGGCUUCCCAAAGUGCUGGGAUUACAGGCAUGACCAUUCUCAGCUUUUGUUCUACCAAUUGUCUUCACCUUAGAAAACUGCAAUGCUGUUCUUUUACUCAGGCACUUACCCUUUUAGUUACUUUUCUCCUUUCUCUCCAACAACUCUGCAUGAAGUCUCUCAGAAAACUGUUCUAACUUCAAAAUGUACCUUGAAUCUGCCCAUUUCGUCCCACCUAUACUCUACUACCUUAGUCUGAGCCACCGUCUCCUCCCCUGGAAUACUGGGGUAACAAUCUUAUUUUGCCCCUUUUUUCCACUUGUCCCUGCCUGAGUACAAAGACUGUUUUCCAGAAUGGUCUUUUAAAAAUGUAAAUAAGCCCCUGUGACUCCUCUGCUCCAAAGCCUUCAAUGGCUUCCCAUUCACUCUAAUGAAAUUCCAAGUCCUCACCUAAGCCCUAAAUAUCCUGGUCCCUGGCUACUUUCUGAUGUCUUCUAUUGCGCUCCCAGUCCCUGACUCUGUACCAGCGACCUUGCUAUUUCUGGAACCUACUGAGGACACUGCUGCCUCAAGGGCUUCAUUUCUCUACUUGGAGACCUCUUUGCCCAGGGGUUUGCAUGGCUUACCCUAUCCUUUCAUUCUAGAGUCUGCUCAAAUGUGAUCUCCGAAGAGAGGCCUUCCCUGACUAUGCCAUCUAAACAUCCCUCGUUCCCAUCCCUCUUUCAUCCUUUUAUUUAGCUGCUUUCCUCCAAAAUACUUAGGACCGAUGUUGUAAAUUUGUUUAAACAUUGUCUUCCCCACUGGAAUGGGAGGGCACAAGUGCAUGGGCUUGCUUUGUUGGCUGCUGAAUUACUGCACCCAGCAGCACACCAGGCACAGGGUGGGUACUCAAAUAUUGGUUGGAACAAAUCAUUGCUUUUAACCUGAGGGCUGAGGAAAGAGAAUUGUUUGAACUGGGGAGGCAGAGGUUGCAGUGAGCUGAGAUGGUGCCAUUGCACACCAGCAUGGGUGACAAGAGUCAAACUCCAUCUCAAAAAAAUAAUUAUAGGUUGGGCACGGUGGCUCAAGCCUGUAAUCCUAGCACUUUGGGAGGCUGAGGCGGGUGGAUCACAAGGUCAGGAGCUUGAGACCAGCCUGGCCAACACAGUGAAACCCCUCUCUACUAAAAAUAAAAUCAGCCAGGCGUGAUGGAUGCCUGUAAUCCCAGCUACUUGGGAGGCUGAGGCAGGGAGAAUCGCUUGAACCCGGGAGGUGGAAAGUUGCAGUGAGCCGA
Molecule: long non-coding RNA, 1478 nt
Filed under: Homo sapiens (human)
Lineage: Eukaryota; Metazoa; Chordata; Mammalia; Primates; Hominidae
Description: HSALNT0001577
Source: RNAcentral